This is a non-coding RNA of Schistosoma margrebowiei, 46 nucleotides long. Lineage: Eukaryota; Metazoa; Platyhelminthes; Trematoda; Strigeidida; Schistosomatidae. The record is from Rfam.
GUCCAGCUGAAGAGUCCCAAAUAGGACAAAACUCUCGUUUCUGGAU